CGCCUGUUUUUCAAAAACAUGUCUUUUUGUCCUAUAAAAAGUCGUAUCUGCUCACUGGUUUUCUAAAGAGCUGCAGUACCCUAACUGUGCAAAGGUAGCAUAAUAAUUUGUCUUUUAAUUAGGGGCUUGAAUGAAAGAUUUGACAUAAAAUAACUGUCUUAAUUUUUACUAAAAAAUUCAUUUUUAGUGAAAACUCUAAAAUAAAAAUAGAAGACGAUAAGACCCUUUAAAAUUUUUCUUAGUUUUAAAUUGGACUAGUCAAACCCGAAAUUAAAGAUUAAUUGGGGAGAUUUUUAUAAACUUAUAAAAACUGUAAAGAAAAAAAACACCUAUAUGUGAAUUUUAAGACCUUUAAAGAAGUUUUAAAUUAAAUUACUUAAGGGAUAACAGCGUUAUUUUUUUUAGAGCCCGAAUCGAAAAAAAAGAUUGCGACCUCGAUGUUGAAUUAAGAAGUCUCAUUUAAGUAAAAAUAAAUGAAGAGAAUCUGUUCGAUUCUUAAAUUCUUACAUGAUCUGAGUCAAAACCGGAGA
RNAcentral lists this ribosomal RNA (530 nucleotides) under Leptostylis cf. ampullacea ICE1-Dia007. Its description in RNAcentral is "partial 16S ribosomal RNA". It matches the Rfam family "Bacterial large subunit ribosomal RNA", at positions 1797 to 2622 of the family's 2925-position model. The record is from RNAcentral. Lineage: Eukaryota; Metazoa; Arthropoda; Malacostraca; Cumacea; Diastylidae.